GGAGGAGCCAAACUUUACUAGGAGCUGCUGUUUCGCGUUCUUGGGACGUUAGGCAGCGCCUCCCAGCGUGAGGCGGAGCAGCUGGCAGCGCCUGCUUUCGUGGAAUGAAAAUAAUUCCACUUCAAGUGCUUGAUGAAGGCUGAUUUUUUUUACUUAGAGAACUUCAAAUUUAGCUACAGAAACACAUUGAGACUUCAGGAUGAGAAGGUCAACUCCACUGAAAUAGAUGAGACCAGUGAGACCACAUUCAUCCCAGGCUUCAUGCUUAACAGAGAAACAUCUAAUUUCUGAUAAACUCCCAGGUGUUUGUAAAACACAUUUGAAUCAUGUAUGCAUGGAUGGUUUUCUCUGUAUCCUUCUGCCACAGUCCUGGACUCUACUCACCAUCAGAUCAGAGGUCAACAACAAAUUUCCUCAUGUUUAAGAGUUGAGAAUUAAAAAUUUAUGCUCAACUAGGAACAUAAAAGGUAAGGACAUAAAUAGCUAAGUGGGGGAUCACAGCCCUUAUUGAUUUGGGGAAAAUUUCUGCUUUUGAUUUCAUUAGUGUUACAUAUCUUAAAUGGAUUCAAAACAAGACAAAACCCAGAAAUUGUGCCAUUUCAUGGAGACAAAUCCUGACAAGUAAAACUAAAACCAAAAUUAUGAAAAUACCCAACAUCAACUUUCAUCUUCAUCGACAUCUACAAAUUUAUUUCCAAUUGAUUUAGAAGACCAAAACAAAUAUUGGAUUGAUUUUUGAAUGCCAAAUAGGGGGCUCAUAGCUUUACUAGCUGAUGCUACUCAUAUC
Molecule: long non-coding RNA, 787 nt
Organism: Prinia subflava (tawny-flanked prinia)
Lineage: Eukaryota; Metazoa; Chordata; Aves; Passeriformes; Cisticolidae
Exons: 4
Source: RefSeq, a predicted model, not a curated record